Camelus dromedarius (Arabian camel) is the source of this 1925-nucleotide RNA transcript. It is a transcript of the gene named leucine zipper transcription factor like 1, with no coding region annotated. The record is from RefSeq and is a predicted model, not a curated record. The transcript is spliced from 11 exons. Lineage: Eukaryota; Metazoa; Chordata; Mammalia; Artiodactyla; Camelidae.
CCAUUAGCAACCGUAGGCUUCUAAACAACCCGCCCUCGCUCCCCAUACUCUGCGGCCCAACUUCCUUCGGCGACCCCGGGCCUGGCGAGGCUGAGCCUGGCCUCUCCCACUUCUCUAGGCCGCUGACUCCCGCAGGCCCGCCGCCAUGGCAGAGUUGGGGCUCAAUGAACACCAUCAAAAUGAAGUCAUUAAUUAUAUGCGUUUUGCUCGUUCAAAAAGAGGCUUGAGACUCAAAACUGUGGAUUCCUGCUUCCAAGACCUCAAGGAGAGCAGGCUGGUGGAGGAGACUUUCACCAUAGAUGAAGUCUCCGAAGUCCUGAAUGGGUUACAGGCUGUGGUCCACAGUGAGGUGGAGUCUGAGCUCAUCAACACAGCCUACACCAACGUGCUCCUUCUGCGCCAGCUCUUCUCACAAGCUGAGAAGUGGUACCUCAAGCUACAGACAGACAUUUCUGAACUUGAAAACAGAGAAUUAUUAGAACAAGUUGCAGAAUUUGAAAAGGCAGAAUUUACAUCUUCAAAUAAAAAGCCCAUCAUAGAUAACAUAAAGCCAAAACUUGCUCCACUUAACGAAGGUGGAACAGCAGAACUUCUAAACAAGGAAAUUUUAAGACUUCAAGAAGAGAAUGAGAAAUUAAAGUCAAGGCUGAAGACCAUUGAAACACAGGCGACAAAUGCAUUGGAUGAGAAGUCGAAACUAGAAAGAGCACUGCAAGAUUUACAGCUUGAUCAAGGAAAUCAAAAGGAUUUUGUAAAAGCCCAGGAUUUGAGUGACUUGGAAAACACAGUUGCUGCUUUAAAGAGUGAGUUUCAGAAGACACUUAACAACCAGACAGAAAACCAGAAGUCACUGGAGGAGAAUCUGGCCAUGGCCAAGCACGACCUCCUCAGGGUUCAGGAGCAGCUGAGCAUGGCUGAAAAGGAAUUAGAGAAGAAAUUCCAACAAACAGCAGCUUAUCGAAACAUGAAAGAAAUGCUUACAAAGAAGAAUGACCAAAUCAAAGACCUGAGAAAAAGAUUGGCAAAAUACGAACCUGAAGAUUAAAAACUGAAGGUUUUGUCUAGAAGCUACCACAGCGUGAAAGUACAGGCUGUUUCCCAGCUCAGGUUUUAUGUUAAAAUACUGAAGGAACAAAUGAUAAAGGGUAAGAUAAUUUCCCUCCAAAAGGACACAGAAGGCAGUCUUAAAAAGACGAAUGAAUCAGAGAAGGGAGGGAGAAAAAGCCACUAACAAGCCAGCACUUGUUGCAUGGUCGUUCCUCACCUGUCUCUCACUAUUCAGGUCGCUCAUUGGUUUCUGUGUCCUUUUUUAAAAUUUAUUUAUUUGUUUGUUUAUUUAUUUAUUUAGUGUGGGGAGGUAAUUAGGUCUGUUUAUUUAUUUAUUUAUUUUUAGAGGAGUUCCUGGGGACUGAACCCAGGACCUUGUGUAUGCUAAGCAUGUGCUCUACCACUUGAGCUAUCCCCUCCCUGCUCUGUGUCCUUUUAGAGCUUUCACUGAGGGUUCUAGUCUCACCCCGUGUUUCUUUAUGCCAAAAUUAAUUCUCUCUCCAAAAAACAUUCCAUUAUUUAUGGACUGGGAUAUUCUGUAUAAUUCAGAAACAGAAUUCUUGAUUAACUGGCUUGUGUAUCUUUCAAAAACCGUUAUUUUCUCCCUGCACAUUUCUUAGUUUGAUACCUGUAGGGAAGGAAGUUAUGUUGAGAAACCCAUGUUGCUAGGUAGAAUUUCACCUUGUUUUCUUUGGUAGCAACUUUGAAAUAGUCUAUAUAGUGUAUUCCAGUUCAGUAAUAAAUUUAAAAGUAUUUAUGAAACCUUAAAACCUAACUAUGCUAACUAUGCCCCACAUUAAGAUAAAAAAAUUAGCAUUCUUUGACAUAAAUCAACAUAAUGAUUCACAUGUAAAUACUUUUUCUGCCGUGGUUUUGUC